AUUGAACGCUAGCGGGAUGCUUUACACCUGCAAGUCGAACGAGUGGCGGACGGGUGAGUAAUAUAUCGGAACGUGUCCAGGAGCGGGGGAUAACUAAUCGAAAGAGUGGCUAAUACCGCAUACACUUGGAGCGGCCGAUAUCGGCUUAGCGAGUUGGGGGGGUAAAGGCGUACCAAGGCAACGAUCCGUAGCUGGUUUUGUAGGAUGACCAGCCACACUGGGACUGAGACCCGGCCCAGACUCCUACGUGAGGCAGCAGUGGGUAAUUUUGGACAAUGGGGGAAACCCUGAUCCAGCCAUCCCGCGUGUAUGAGAAGGCCUUCGGGUUGUAAAGUACUUUUGGCAGAGAAGCGGUAUCUGCAGAAUAAGCACCGGCUAACUACGUGCCAGCAGCCGCGGUAAUAC
Molecule: ribosomal RNA, 405 nt
Filed under: uncultured bacterium
Lineage: Bacteria
Description: partial 16S ribosomal RNA
Rfam family: Bacterial small subunit ribosomal RNA
Source: RNAcentral